This 213-nucleotide ribosomal RNA is filed under the name uncultured bacterium. RNAcentral's name for it is "partial 16S ribosomal RNA". It matches the Rfam family "Bacterial small subunit ribosomal RNA", at positions 1290 to 1500 of the family's 1533-position model. The record is from RNAcentral.
AGUUCGGAUUGGAGGCUGAAACCCGCCUCCAUGAAGUUGGAUUCGCUAGUAAUCGCGCAUCAGCCAUGGCGCGGUGAAUACGUUCCCGGGCCUUGUACACACCGCCCGUCACACCAUGGGAGUUUGUAACGCCCAAAGUCGGUGGCCUAACCUUUAUGGAGGGAGCCGCCUAAGGCGGGACAGAUGACUGGGGUGAAGUCGUAACAAGGUAGC